AAAUAUUCCAAUGUAGCCGUUGUUCUUCACUAAAACCUCCAUUAAAGACACAUUGCCCACUUUGAAAGCUCAAAAUCUUUGAAGAGGAUUGAAGAGGGUUGGCUAUGGAAGAGGUAAAAUUGAAUUUGUAUAGACAAUGAAAUCGUCAAUUGAUGGAAAGGUUGAAUCCGAAAAUCUGAAAUACACACCCAACAAAAUGCAAGCAACAACUUUGAAUCAGUUGGUUCAAAGUGAAAGAUUUGUGUGAUUUAACUUCUUGUGAGAAAGAGAAGAUGUAAGGUAGCUGACCUAUUUUCCCCCUUUUCUAACAUUUUUCUUGACUAGGCUAUUUUGUGAACGUGCGUGUAGGUAAGUGUUUAAGUUUGAGUGACUUUCUAGUCUGACUAAGCAAAUAAUACCCAUAAAAAUAUACUAAAAGUAAGUCUGGGGGAUCAUAGGACCCCCGCAAAGUUCAUAUAUGUAACAUCAAUUUCGCCCAUAGUUUGAGUGUGUUUUGAACCCUUUUCCCUUAAUAUUACAUUAUUUUAUUUGUUA
Long non-coding RNA from Solanum tuberosum (potato), 534 nucleotides. RefSeq lists it as uncharacterized. NCBI's taxonomy places the organism in Eukaryota, Viridiplantae, Streptophyta, Magnoliopsida, Solanales, Solanaceae. The record is from RefSeq and is a predicted model, not a curated record. The transcript has 2 exons.